GUUCAAGCUACUAAGGGCUAUUGGUGGAUGCCUUGGCGCUGGAAGCCGAUGAAGGACGUGGAAGACUGCGAUAAGCUACGGUUAGUUGUCAAACAAACUUUGAACCGUAGAUUUCCGAAUGGGGAAACCCAAUUUAUUUAUAAAUUACUCCUAUCUGAA
This 159-nucleotide ribosomal RNA is filed under the name Acidimicrobiales bacterium. RNAcentral's name for it is "partial 23S ribosomal RNA". It matches the Rfam family "Bacterial large subunit ribosomal RNA", at positions 1 to 162 of the family's 2925-position model. The record is from RNAcentral. Lineage: Bacteria; Bacillati; Actinomycetota; Acidimicrobiia; Acidimicrobiales.